RNAcentral lists this ribosomal RNA (301 nucleotides) under uncultured bacterium. RNAcentral's name for it is "partial 16S ribosomal RNA". It matches the Rfam family "Bacterial small subunit ribosomal RNA", at positions 509 to 809 of the family's 1533-position model. The record is from RNAcentral.
CAGUAGCCGCGGUAAUACGGAGGGGGCAAGCGUUAUCCGGAAUUAUUGGGCGUAAAGGGUACGUAGGUGGCCUUUUAAGCGUAGGGUAUAAGGCAAUGGCUCAACCAUUGUUCGCCCUAUGAACUGGAAGGCUUGAGUGCAGGAGAGGAAAGCGGAAUUCCUAGUGUAGCGGUGGAAUGCAUAGAUAUUAGGAGGAACAUCAGCGGCGAAGGCGGCUUUCUGGACUGCAACUGACACUGAGGUACGAAAGCGUGGGGAGCAAACAGGAUUAGAUACCCCGUAGUCCCUGUCUCUUAUACAC